GAUGAACGCUGGCGGCGUGCCUAAUACAUGCAAGUCGAGCGAACAGACGAGGGGCUUGCUCCUCUGACGUUAGCGGCGGGCGGGUGAGUAACACGUGGAUAACCUACCUAUAAGACUGGGAUAACUUCGGGAAACCGGAGCUAAUACCGGAUAAUAUAUUGAACCGCAUGGUUCAAUAGUGAAAGACGGUUUUGCUGUCACUUAUAGAUGGAUCCGCGCCGCAUUAGCUAGUUGGUAAGGUAACGGCUUACCAAGGCAACGAUGCGUAGCCGACCUGAGAGGGUGAUCGGCCACACUGGAACUGAGACACGGUCCAGACUCCUACGGGAGGCAGCAGUAGGGAAUCUUCCGCAAUGGGCGAAAGCCUGACGGAGCAACGCCGCGUGAGUGAUGAAGGUCUUCGGAUCGUAAAACUCUGUUAUUAGGGAAGAACAAAUGUGUAAGUAACUAUGCACGUCUUGACGGUACCUAAUCAGAAAGCCACGGCUAACUACGUG
RNAcentral lists this ribosomal RNA (497 nucleotides) under uncultured bacterium. RNAcentral describes it as "partial 16S ribosomal RNA". It matches the Rfam family "Bacterial small subunit ribosomal RNA", at positions 28 to 507 of the family's 1533-position model. The record is from RNAcentral.